GCCUACGGCCAUACCACCCUGAGAGUGCCCGAUCUCGUCUGAUCUCGGAAGCUAAGCAGGGUCGGGCCCGGUUAGUACUUGGAUGGGAGACCGCCUGGGAAUACCGGGUGCUGUAGGCU
Molecule: ribosomal RNA, 119 nt
Organism: Taeniopygia guttata (zebra finch)
Lineage: Eukaryota; Metazoa; Chordata; Aves; Passeriformes; Estrildidae
Source: Ensembl